CAGUAGCCACGGUAAUACGUAGGUGGCAAGCGUUGUCCGGAAUUAUUGGGCGUAAAGGGCUCGCAGGCGGUUUCUUAAGUCUGAUGUGAAAGCCCCCGGCUCAACCGGGGAGGGUCAUUGGAAACUGGGAAACUUGAGUGCAGAAGAGGAGAGUGGAAUUCCGAGUGUAGAGGUGAAAUGCGUAGAGAUGUGGAGGAACACCAGUGGCGAAGGCGACUCUCUGGUCUGUAACUGACGCUGAGGAGCGAAAGCGUGGGGAGCGAACAGGAUUAGAUACCCCUGUAGUCCCUGUCUCUUAUAC
Molecule: ribosomal RNA, 301 nt
Filed under: uncultured bacterium
Lineage: Bacteria
Description: partial 16S ribosomal RNA
Rfam family: Bacterial small subunit ribosomal RNA
Source: RNAcentral